RNAcentral lists this ribosomal RNA (255 nucleotides) under Enterobacter cloacae. RNAcentral's name for it is "partial 23S ribosomal RNA". It matches the Rfam family "Bacterial large subunit ribosomal RNA", at positions 2062 to 2316 of the family's 2925-position model. RNAcentral also lists the same sequence under 1 other name. The record is from RNAcentral. Lineage: Bacteria; Pseudomonadati; Pseudomonadota; Gammaproteobacteria; Enterobacterales; Enterobacteriaceae.
CAGUGUACCCGCGGCAAGACGGAAAGACCCCGUGAACCUUUACUAUAGCUUGACACUGAACACUGGUCCUUGAUGUGUAGGAUAGGUGGGAGGCUUUGAAGCGUGGACGCCAGUCUGCGUGGAGCCGACCUUGAAAUACCACCCUUUAAUGGCUGGUGUUCUAACGUAGACCCGUAAUCCGGGUUGCGGACAGUGUCUGGUGGGUAGUUUGACUGGGGCGGUCUCCUCCCAAAGAGUAACGGAGGAGCACGAAGG